This 1287-nucleotide ribosomal RNA is filed under the name Lactobacillus sp. Its description in RNAcentral is "bacterial SSU rRNA". It matches the Rfam family "Bacterial small subunit ribosomal RNA", at positions 62 to 1296 of the family's 1533-position model. The record is from RNAcentral. Lineage: Bacteria; Bacillati; Bacillota; Bacilli; Lactobacillales; Lactobacillaceae.
CCCGUGGUGCUACAUAGCCAGAUCGUUACGUAUCAGGGUGAGCCUGUUCACAGUUAGAAUGACGUGGCUUGCACAUGAUUUUAACAAUGAAGCGAGUAGGCGAACUGGUGAGUAACACGUGGGAAAUCUGCCCAGAAGCAGGGGAUAACACUUGGAAACAGGUGCUAAUACCGUAUAACAACAAAAUCCGCAUGGAUUUUGUUUGAAAGGUGGCUUCGGCUAUCACUUCUGGAUGAUCCCGCGGCGUAUUAGUUAGUUGGUGAGGUAAAGGCCCACCAAGACGAUGAUACGUAGCCGACCUGAGAGGGUAAUCGGCCACAUUGGGACUGAGACACGGCCCAAACUCCUACGGGAGGCAGCAGUAGGGAAUCUUCCACAAUGGACGAAAGUCUGAUGGAGCAAUGCCGCGUGAGUGAAGAAGGGUUUCGGCUCGUAAAACUCUGUUGUUAAAGAAGAACACCUUUGAGAGUAACUGUUCAAGGGUUGACGGUAUUUAACCAGAAAGCCACGGCUAACUACGUGCCAGCAGCCGCGGUAAUACGUAGGUGGCAAGCGUUGUCCGGAUUUAUUGGGCGUAAAGCGAGCGCAGGCGGUUUUUUAAGUCUGAUGUGAAAGCCUUCGGCUUAACCGGAGAAGUGCAUCGGAAACUGGGAGACUUGAGUGCAGAAGAGGACAGUGGAACUCCAUGUGUAGCGGUGGAAUGCGUAGAUAUAUGGAAGAACACCAGUGGCGAAGGCGGCUGUCUAGUCUGUAACUGACGCUGAGGCUCGAAAGCAUGGGUAGCGAACAGGAUUAGAUACCCUGGUAGUCCAUGCCGUAAACGAUGAGUGCUAAGUGUUGGAGGGUUUCCGCCCUUCAGUGCUGCAGCUAACGCAUUAAGCACUCCGCCUGGGGAGUACGACCGCAAGGUUGAAACUCAAGGAAUUGACGGGGGCCCGCACAAGCGGUGGAGCAUGUGGUUUAAUUCGAAGCUACGCGGAAGACCUUUACCAGGUCUUGACAUCUUCUGCCAAUCUUAGAGAUAAGACGUUCCCUUCGGGGACAGAAUGACAGUGUGCAUGUUGUCGUCAGCUCGUGUCGUGAGAAUGUUGGUAAGUCCCGCAACGAGCGCAACCCUUAUUAUCAGUUGCAGCAAUCAGUUGGGCACUCUGGUGAGAACUGCGGUGACAACGAGCAGGUGGAUGACGUCAAUCAUCAUGCCUUAUGACCUGGGCCUACACGGUGCUCAAUGAACGUACACGAUGGCAGUCUGAGCUAGGCUAGUCUCUAAACCGCUUCUAGAUGUCG